This 266-nucleotide ribosomal RNA is filed under the name uncultured archaeon. RNAcentral describes it as "partial 16S ribosomal RNA". It matches the Rfam family "Archaeal small subunit ribosomal RNA", at positions 718 to 982 of the family's 1478-position model. The record is from RNAcentral.
AGUCACUGACAUUAGAUACCCCUGUAGUCCAGGGUGUAAACGACUGCAGACUUGGUGUUGGAGGCCCUUUGGGGGCAUCCAGUGCCGGAGAGAAGUUGUUAAGUCUGCUACUUGGGGAGUACGUCCGCAAGGAUGAAACUUAAAGGAAUUGGCGGGGGAGCACCGCAACGGGAGGAGCGUGCGGUUUAAUUGGAUUCAACACCGUAAAACUCACCAGGGAAGACUGUUACAUGAAGGCCGAGAUGAAGACUCUGCUAGAUUUUCAG